CCAAUUUUUGAAGUUCAGCGGUCCAGAACCAACCGUUAAUAUUGGAUGGAAGAAGAUCGGGUCUGUCGCAUCCUUUGAAGUCACAAAGACGACCGGAAGUCCAGAUGUACUUAACGUUAUCUGAAAAAAAAGAAGAUUUUACAUUUUGGUUUGAACAUUCGGAAGGCGAAUUUUAUUAACAAAAUUGAUGGGACAUAAAUUGACCCCUUUUUCAUUAAACGUUUUCGGCUUGAUACAAUUGAGAAAGUAUCACCUACUUUACUUUAUGGCAAAGGAAUAUACCAAAGUCGCCGAUGAGAAGAUUACCAAUUCAAAUUCAGAUGAAAUCUCAAUUAAUCGAGAAUGAUAAUCUAUUAGGAUGGAAAUUAAUACAAUUAAAAAAAAGGUAAUAAUUUAUAAUAUUACAAAAAACAACAGUGAAACCAGAAUAAUAGUUGUUUUCUAACAAUGCGUACAAGUCCAGUUGAAAAAGAAUUUUUUUCCUAAAUUCCGGAUGUGAGGAAAUUGAUUUUUUUCUUUUUUAUAAACAGAAAAGUCACACACCAAAAAUGUGUGUUACGAACUCAUGAUUAGUAAUACUUUCUCAGCUAUUCAUUUUGGCUGAAAUAAGAAGCAAUAAAUUCUCAUUGUACACAAGUUUCUUCUGUUUGGUUUACAUGAAUGUUUUCCCACGUGGGUUUCGAUUGUUGCACAAGAAAGGUAUAACCUACUGCACACUUUGGGACCACCAUCAGUGAAUUCGUUUUAUCGAAAGUAAAAUACAAUAAUAUGCACCUUUAAUCAAUUAUAGAUUUACAUAAAAUUCAAAAAAAAGAACAAUUUUCAUUGUAUCAUUUUAAUUUUAAAUAUUUUCAAUUUUUAAUUCUUUUAAAAGAGAUUUUUUUUUUAAUUCUUUUAAAUUUAAAAUAAAAAAAAAUUUAUUUUUUAAACGGUUUUUUUUUUAAAUUCAAAAAAGAACUGUAUUUUAUUCAAAACAGCAUUUUAUUUUGAUUAAUUUAUUCUAUCAGCGAAUUGGUACUUACAAAAAUAAUAAUUUAUUCUGACCAGAUAAAAAGAUCUUUCCUCGAGAUUUAAAACAGAUACCAAACAUUUUUCUGCUACUUUCUCUGUGAUAAUUUAUACAAAUUUAUUGUAAUCAAAUGUAUUUACAUUUCUAACACUAUACUCAAAACAAAAAAUAAAAUAAAUAAAAAAAAAAGAACCUGAAAAUUCGUGGUAAUAGAAAAUUAGUCAAGAGGCAUUUUUGUCAUUCUUGUUUUUGAAAUAACCAUUAAAAUUUAAUCAAAAUAAUUUUUUUCUUACAUAAAAUAAAAUUUAAAAAAAAUGUGUUUCGAAAUAAAAUACUUUUUAGUAAAAAAAAAUGCUGUUUUAUAAUAAAGUAAUCUUCUUUUUGUAAUUUUUUUUUUUUUUUUUGCAUUCUUCUUUUGAUGGAACAUUUUCGAAACAUCAUUUUAAUAAUUGAGAUUGAACGAUGUAAUUCGGAGUAAGUUACCUUGAAAGGGAAAAAAAACGCUUUUAUUGUAAAAAAAGAACCUUGAAAUUAAAAAAAAGACGAACACUCGAGAAAAAAGUAACUGAACCUUGACUUAGAGAUGCUGUUUAAUUUUCAAAUAUUGGUUUUAGAGCCCAAGUUUACCUGUUUCUAUAUUCAGAAACUGAAUAUUCAAAAGAAAGGCGAACUUUCGCUGACAGAUUUGUGAAAAGUCUGAAUGUAAAUUUAUUUUAGAAUCUCCAUUACAAAUGAAAGCAGAAAAUUAGUUCUCAAAAGAUUAAGAAAGGGAUUUUUUUUAAAAAUGUAAAAGUCCUUAAAGCACAUACAUAAAAAAAUAUAAUAAAUAAUUGUAUACCUAAUAUAAAUUUUUAAUAAUUACAUUAAUUAUUGCAAUUAUAAAAUUUUUUUAUAAUAUUGAAUUAAUUAAAGAAAUUAAAUAAUUUAAAAUUUUAUUUGAUAAAUAUAAAUAUUAUAAAUUAAAUUACAAUUCACAAAUUUACCAAAAUGUUUUUACGAGACAAUGCGCAAAUUUUUUGUGUAUCCUAAAAUGCCAUUUGCAUACUAAGUGAUGACAAAGUUUUUUUCUCAAUCUUUUAUUCAGUAUUUUCUUUAAAAAUUUAGUUUGCAUAUUAUAAAAUAGGUAAU
Leptopilina boulardi is the source of this 2137-nucleotide long non-coding RNA. RefSeq lists it as uncharacterized. NCBI's taxonomy places the organism in Eukaryota, Metazoa, Arthropoda, Insecta, Hymenoptera, Figitidae. The record is from RefSeq and is a predicted model, not a curated record. The transcript is spliced from 3 exons.